This 72-nucleotide transfer RNA is filed under the name Podarcis lilfordi (Lilford's wall lizard). RNAcentral's name for it is "tRNA.Lys". The stretch from base 9 to 66 matches the Rfam family "tRNA", at positions 8 to 63 of the family's 71-position model. From Rfam's summary of the family: Transfer RNA (tRNA) molecules are approximately 80 nucleotides in length. Their secondary structure includes four short double-helical elements and three loops (D, anti-codon, and T loops). Lineage: Eukaryota; Metazoa; Chordata; Lepidosauria; Squamata; Lacertidae. The record is from RNAcentral.
CUAGGACCUAGCUCGGUUGGUAGAGUAUGAGACUCUUAAUCUCAGGGCCAUAGGUUCGAAACCCACACUAGA